GGACGAACGCUGGCGGCGUGCUUAACACAUGCAAGUCGAGCGGUAAGGCCCUUUCGGGGUACGACGAGCGGCGAACGGGUGAGUAACACGUGGGUGACCUGCCCUUAGCUCUGGGAUAAGCCUGGGAAACUGGGUCUAAUACCGGAUAUGACUCCAUGACGCAUGUUGUGGGGUGGAAAGCCUUGUGCGGCUAGGGAUGGCCCGCGGCCUAUCAGCUUGUUGGUGGGGUGAUGGCCUACCAAGG
This 244-nucleotide ribosomal RNA is filed under the name uncultured bacterium. Its description in RNAcentral is "partial 16S ribosomal RNA". It matches the Rfam family "Bacterial small subunit ribosomal RNA", at positions 27 to 273 of the family's 1533-position model. The record is from RNAcentral.